RNAcentral lists this ribosomal RNA (253 nucleotides) under uncultured bacterium. RNAcentral describes it as "partial 16S ribosomal RNA". It matches the Rfam family "Bacterial small subunit ribosomal RNA", at positions 524 to 776 of the family's 1533-position model. The record is from RNAcentral.
GACAGAGGAUGCAAGCGUUGUCCGGAAUUAUUGGGCGUAAAGAGCUCGUAGGCGGUUUGUCGCGUCUGCUGUGAAAACUCAGGGCUUAACCCUGAGCCUGCAGUGGGUACGGGCAGACUAGAGUGUGGUAGGGGAGAUCGGAAUUCCUGGUGUAGCGGUGGAAUGCGCAGAUAUCAGGAGGAACACCGGUGGCGAAGGCGGAUCUCUGGGCCAUAACUGACGCUGAGGAGCGAAAGCAUGGGGAGCGAACAGG